GACGAACGCUGGCGGCGUGCUUAACACAUGCAAGUCGAGCGGGGAACUUCGGUUCCCAGCGGCGGACGGGUGAGUAACACGUGGGUAACCUGCCUUACAGUGGGGAAUAGCCUUCCGAAAGGAAGAUUAAUAUCGCAUAAUACUCAGAGAUCACAUGAUCUUUGAGCCAAAGGAUUUAUUCGCUGUAAGAUGGACCCGGGGCGCAUUAGCUUGUUGGUGAGGUAACGGCUCACCAAGGCUUCGAUGCGUAGCCGACCUGAGAGGGUGAUCGGCCACAUUGGAACUGAGACACGGUCCAGACUCCUACGGGAGGCGGCAGUGGGGAAUAUUGCACAAUGGAGGAAACGCUGAUGCAGCAACGCCGCGUGAGUGAUGAAGGUCUUCGGAUCGUAAAACUCUGUCUUAUGGGACGAUAAUGACGGUACCAUAGGAGGAAGCCACGGCUAACUACGUGCCAGCAGCCGCAGUAA
This 470-nucleotide ribosomal RNA is filed under the name uncultured bacterium. RNAcentral describes it as "partial 16S ribosomal RNA". It matches the Rfam family "Bacterial small subunit ribosomal RNA", at positions 28 to 523 of the family's 1533-position model. The record is from RNAcentral.